AACAAACUCAGCAUGACCGGUGAAACUUUGUGAUGGAUUUUUAAGACCUUAAUUAUGUUUAUGAAUUUAAGACCUUUAUAAUGCCAUGUGAUCACAUGCAAUGCUCCAGUUAGCAGAACGCAUGAUUGCAGUUCAUAUGAGAACCAUGAUCUUCUGUCAGCAGUUUGAGAACGAAAACACUUUCUCCAAUUGCCAAGGCUUGCCAAGACACCUGUCACAUUACCCAUAUGUUCUCAUCCUGGCACAGGAGACUGAGGGUGAAAGAAGCAAGACGGAGAGAAAGGGAAAAUGGAGGUGCAGUCCUACAUUAUUUUCACUCUGCCAUCAUGAGGCUUGCAAAUAUUGUGUGCAUAUUAAACCUAUCAGUGGCCUCUGCCAACACUAUGCAUUGCAAACUGAACUGAGAGCCAAGUUGAAGGGCAGCCAAAGAAUGUAUGCUCUGUGGCUGAGCUGAACCCAAAGGGGUGCCGGUCACAUAAGCAAUGCUAAAAUGGACUGGAUGGGAAACACAAAACACUCACUUUAGUUUAGCAGGUCUGAUUAAGCCCAAAAUUAAAGAUUCAAUAUAUUGUGGGCCUGUGACUUAUGGCUGAACAAAAGACUACACUUCAAAGACAACCUCCAAAACCUGCCCAUCAGCACUGGCAAACAAGCAAAGAAUGCUUACUUCAAGAUAAGCAGUAUUUUGCAAAACAGCAUGCAGCCCGAACCAAGCAAGACAUGAUAGAGCAAUAUGAGAUGGGCAACAAAUAGUCUGCAGAGUGGGAGACUUCUGAGAAAAAUGUAUUUUGUGAAUUUGGAGGGGGAUAAUGUGUGGGGAUUAUCUUAUCUGCCCUGGUGUGAGCAGCAUAACAUGCAAGAACAUUGAUGUAUUUUAAAUUUGUGCAUUGGAAAUAACAAGGAAUGAAUUAAUAAAUGUAGCACUGACCCACAUGAAAUUGGGUUUCUGGGUUGAUUAAGACAUGAGAAAGAGUUCCAUUAUCCAUUAGCCUAUAAUCUCCUAUCAUCUGUGUAGCAGGCCUAUUAGAAUUCCCCAUGCAUUGGAGAAAAAGCACUGGAAGACAACGCAAUC
This 1072-nucleotide long non-coding RNA is filed under the name Salmo trutta (river trout). RNAcentral's name for it is "lncRNA (ENSSTUG00000028848.1)". The record is from RNAcentral. Lineage: Eukaryota; Metazoa; Chordata; Actinopteri; Salmoniformes; Salmonidae.